Long non-coding RNA from Populus euphratica (Euphrates poplar), 759 nucleotides. RefSeq lists it as uncharacterized. Lineage: Eukaryota; Viridiplantae; Streptophyta; Magnoliopsida; Malpighiales; Salicaceae. The record is from RefSeq and is a predicted model, not a curated record. The transcript is spliced from 3 exons.
UAAUUCUUGUUGCGCUCCGAUUGUCCCUCAUUUCUCUUCUGAUCUCAGUUUUAUCCACCUCUGAUCUACACAAUUCACUUGCCUCUUUCUAAACCUUUUGUCAGCUUGAUAUUCACGAUCAAAUGCUGCUUUCUUCACAAAGAUAUUUAGAGUAGCAACGGAGUUGGAUUGGAAGCGAGAUGCUUUUCGCUUUUAGAUUUAUAUUGCUUCAGGGAUGGGUGCCAUGUUCUAUGUUAAUGCUUUCUGAUAACAUUUAAGAACAAAAUGUAUGGAAUCACCACAAGGAUAAUUUCUCGACGAAGCAGAAUGGACACAUUUAAACUAUAUCAUUCAUGUGUGGAAGAAGUCAUUUGAGUUGUCCUGGCUAUAGGAGUUUAAGCUGCCAGUGGAAUAUCCAUAAAGAAAAUCUAGUCUGCAAGUGGAUAGCAAUUGGAGCACCAUCUCAAGAUAAGUUUCCAAUCCUUGUUUUAUUUGAUGCAGGGUUUGAUGUUGAUAGAUCUCACGUCAGUUUUAACCAUCCAUUCUUUUAUGGGGUGGAAAAAAGGAAGCCACUUCCUAUUGUACUCUCUUCCCUCUUCAUUAUUUUUCUGUCUGACACUGUCAAGAACUGUGUACGAUGAAAUGUUUAUAACAAACUACUUGCAAUCAUUUGUUGUAUGAUUGUGCAGAAAGCAUGGACUUGCUAUGUUUGAAAAUUUUAUAAUAUGAAUUCUAAUAUUUUGCAUUUUAAUUAGGUGAAAAUCCAUAAUUUUAUGGUCU